CUGGGAGGGGGAGACGGGAGAAGGAGGGUACGAAAGGAACCUAACAGGCAAUUUCUACCUUCACUCACUGAGAAUUGUCCAUAGAGCAUCUUCCCGGUGAGAGAACUCUUUCAGCGUUUUCUAUUG
This 126-nucleotide non-coding RNA is filed under the name uncultured alveolate. The record is from RNAcentral.